CCCGGACUUGCCCCCCUCCAGGUGACCGAGAGCUGCGCUCCCGACCGCGCCUGAGCUGAUGGCUGGACCCCCUCGCCCCAUUUUACGGACGGAAAUACCGAGAGCAACAUUAUUCACAAUAGCCAAGACGUGGAAGCAACCCAAGUGCCCACUGAGUGAUGAACGGAUAAAGAAGAUGCGGCUAAGUACAGUAAGCCACAAUGAGCAGGGGCGGUAAAUGCUUGAGGAACAGGAAAGAAUAAGAGAGGCAGCGUUCACCUUGCCGGCCAGGGCCUGGUGCACCACUGUUUAAUUUCUACUUAAAAAGUGAGGCAGGAACUUGGUAGAGAAGUUUAGGCAAUACAAGGGGAAAGAGAAUGACAAGUUGGUCUUCCUCCAGGCCCACAGCCCACCACCGAGGCCCCAGGCCCCCAGUUACCCUUUCUGAUAAUAGGCCCUGGUACCAGACUCCCGGGAAUCCUUCUGGUAGGGUGGUCCACUCAUCCUGCUGUGCCCAGGACUUUGCCAGCUUUAGCAAUGAAAGCCGCGCAUCCUGAGAAACCCCACAGCGCCAGGCAAACGGGACAGUUGGUCCGCCUACCUUCCAGAGACAUCUAUUCGUCACACAGAAACAUACACAUAUACUAGCUGUGUUACUCAGCAUUUGGUGUUAUUUUCAUUAAAAGUACAUUUUGAAGAUCAUUCCAUAUCAGCUGUAUAUUCACUUAAGUAUUUAUGGAGUUACCUACCCUGCACUAG
RNAcentral lists this long non-coding RNA (738 nucleotides) under Equus asinus (donkey). RNAcentral describes it as "lncRNA (ENSEASG00005025817.1)". The record is from RNAcentral. Lineage: Eukaryota; Metazoa; Chordata; Mammalia; Perissodactyla; Equidae.